UUGAAAGGGAAACGAUUGAAGUCAGUCGUACCCGAUGGACAAUCAGCCUUUUGAGUGCGAUUCUGUGGGGCAUGAGGAGGAAACCCUCAUGUUUUGCAUAUUUGUGCUCCUUGGGUGUAUUUGUUCGUAUGGUGGGUUAACAUCAAUUUUGGUCGUCAUAAAAUGACGGGAGGAAUGUAGCUUUGGUCUCGUAUUGAAGUGUUAUAGCCUCUGGUAGAUGUGACGACCGGGAUUGAGGAUUGCAACGGAUACCUCUCGGGGCUACUCGCCUGAUCUCUGAUCGUUACUCUGGUGCCGAAAGCUUGCUUAUGCCAUCAAAGUUGAUGGUCAAAAGGUUAGAACGGGUUAAAUUCGUUAAGGAUGUUGACGUA
Molecule: ribosomal RNA, 371 nt
Filed under: Glomus sp. acp30
Lineage: Eukaryota; Fungi; Glomeromycota; Glomeromycetes; Glomerales; Glomeraceae
Description: eukaryotic LSU rRNA
Source: RNAcentral